UGGUUCUAGCAUCGAUGAAGAACGCAGCGAAAUGCGAUAAGUAAUGUGAAUUGCAGAAUUUUGUGAAUCAUCGAAUUUUUGAACGCACAUUGCACCUUUUGGUAUUCCGAAAGGUAUGCCUACUCGAGCGUCAUCUCACCUAUCAAACAUUAGUUUGGUUUUGAGUUAAAUCUAUGUGAUUGACUUCAAAAAGAAUUAGUUUUGGUACAAUGAUCCGUAUUCUACAACUAAUAUCUAUUUUUUUAAUGGUUGACCUCGAAUUAGGUAGGAUUACCCGCUGA
Molecule: unclassified non-coding RNA, 281 nt
Filed under: uncultured fungus
Lineage: Eukaryota; Fungi
Description: partial contains 5.8S ribosomal RNA and internal transcribed spacer 2
Rfam family: 5.8S ribosomal RNA (bases 1-133)
Source: RNAcentral